CAGGACACAGAGCUUCCCUAAUCUAAUCCUAAUUAGUGGGUUUUGCACAAAGUGUAAAGAAUAGAUAAACACAGUAAUAAGGAUUUAUCAGUGAGUCGUCUUUACAGUGUUUUGUCAGUUUUUGGUAUUCAGCUGUCAGCACAUCUCAAGGUGUCGUUCUAACGUGUUAGGUGACUCUGAUACACUGCAUGUGCACCAGAACAGCCAGCACCGGAGAGAGGGGUUAAGCUUCCACAGGUGAUCUGGAGAUGAAGAUUAUCAUGUGGUGCACAUUGCUUCUAUUUCUUUGUUCAACCACAAAAGAGAUGGUUUUGGAUCAAACCAAACAGUCCAGAGGACUGACAGCAGAGAUGAAAAGCGGACUAAACAUCUCCCGGAACCUCAAAAGACACUCAGACGGGAUGUUCACCAGCGACUUGACCAACUAUCUUGAUAAAAUUAAAGCAAAAAAUUUUGUGGAGUGGCUGGCUGCUAUCAAACAACAAGAAUGCCAGGAGAAGGGGCUGGAAACUGCAGAGAAUGUAUAAUGAUGAUUCAACUCAAAGAAUUUUCCCAAAUAACUCACAUCUUUAACUUUAACGUGCUUUAAAUGUGGGAAUAAUUUACCCUUUAAAACUAACACACUGCUAAGAUUCGAUUGAAAGGGUUUAUGAAAGUAAUUUAUGGUCAUUUUCAUUUGCUUUGGCUAAGAUUUUUUCUUUAUGCAAUCAAAAAUAAAAAUUAAGAGAAUCAAGUGCCAUGAAUACAUAGUGAGGACCACAAGCGGGCGCUGUUGCUCUGCUUACUGUAUUCUUGUGAUGUAUAAUAAUAAGCAAUAAAAGAUUUUAAAAAGUAAAGCAGAUUUUUGGUGGAAAGACGAUUUGUUUUAAGAUAUAAUUUAAGUCCAAAUAAAAAUUGGAUUAUUGAAUUCGACCCCUCUAAAGAAGGGUAUAUUUGUUUUUCUUUUGUUUGUUUAUUUAUUACCUGUGCUUUAGGGACGUGGGGUGUUUGGGUUAUUUUUCAUUUUGAAAAGAAAGCUACAAACAACAAACAGGAAAAAGGAUUGAAAGCUAUUAAGCUUUCCACUGUGAUGGAGAACUACCUCUUUGGACCUGCCCUCCUUCCUCUGUCACUCUCUGGGGAAAGAAAGAAAACGAUGGAGGGAGAGAACAAACAGUAAACACUCACAACUCCCAGAAUGCACGAGGGCUGAACAGAUAUGGGAAACUCCCCAUCCCCGUGGCUACAACUAGAGCUUUUUUUUUUUUUUUUUUUUUUUUUUUUUUUAAAACAAAAAGCAGAACUGAAUAAGACAUUAAUAGUAACAUAUAUAAAUAAUUGAAAAGAGAUUCUAAAAUUAUAUUUUUUCUCAAAUCUGAAUGUUUAAGCUUAAAAAAGUAGAGGUGUUAAAUGUUAUUUUGAGCCUCAUCCAGGCUUUCCCUCAGAGAAACAACAUGCUAUGUGGCAGCUCCUUUCAGGGAGGAGGGAGGAGGUGAUGGAGAGAAGCUCACAGAGGAGGAGGAGAUUGACAGGCGUGUGUAGGUGUGGCACUUUGAAAUUUUAGUUCUGCACGCGGGGUUUAUUUUUAGUUCGCUCCUUUGUUUUGUUUUGUUAUUUUCGUGUGGAUUUCAGCUUCCACCCAGCGACGGUCCGCCGAAGCCCCACCCAGAGCGCUCGGAGUUGUUCACAGGAUGGUCGUCCUUCUGUUUCCACCUUCAGCACCAAGGACAGCUCCUCGCGCUCUCGCGCGCGCGGCGCUCGGGGGUUCGACUCCGACACAAAUGCCGCCUCUUCCAGGCACAAACUCACCGAGGCUGGUGGCCAAACUGGGAGUAUGCUGCUGACUCAGCCUCGACUGCUGCAUUAAUUUAUCUGCACUGCAGUGCUCAAACACCCCCCUCCCUGUCUGAACUCCCUUUCUCUCUUCCUCAAAGACAACCACUGCAAUCUCACACAAACAUCCUGCUUCCACAGUCAAGACAGAAGCUCCAGGAUCUAGAAGGAGAACCCAUAUGUGUGGAUAAACCAUAGCAGGGAGCUUUUAUGGGGGGGUUUAUAUGGAAAUUUAAGGAGAAAGACACUGAGGGGUGCGGGGGCUGGACUCAGAGCUGAAGCGUCCACGUGAUCUCUGGGAAAUACAAGCCAGGAAAACAAAUUAUUUUAAGGCCACAAUGAAGAAUGAAAGAAUGAAUUACAAACUGCACUAUAGAUGUCUGAAAAUACAAAAUAUUAAUCUGAAUCAACGACUUGAAUAAAAAUAACGACUUUAACUUG
Long non-coding RNA from Oryzias melastigma (Indian medaka), 2253 nucleotides. RefSeq lists it as uncharacterized. Lineage: Eukaryota; Metazoa; Chordata; Actinopteri; Beloniformes; Adrianichthyidae. The transcript is spliced from 5 exons. The record is from RefSeq and is a predicted model, not a curated record.